CUACGGAAGGUCCGGGCGUUAUCCGGAUUUAUUGGGUUUAAAGGGAGCGCAGGCGGAGAUGCAAGCGUGACGUCAAAUUUCGGGGCUCAACCCCGUCUCGCGUCGCGAACUGCGUCCCUUGGUUGCGGGAAGGGGAGGCGGAACUCGUGGUGUAGAGGUGAAAUGCAUAGAUAUCACGAAGAACUCCGAUCGCGAAGGCAGCCUUCCGGCCCGUCAACGACGCUCAUGCUCGAAGGUGCGGGUAUCAAACAGGAUUAGAUACCCUGGUAGUCCGCACAGUAAACGAUGGACACCCGCGGUUCGGCCUGUAUGGCUGAGCCGCCAAGCGAAAGCGUUAAGUGUCCCACCUGGGGAGUACGCCGGCAACGGUGAAACUCAAAGGAAUUGACGGGG
This 393-nucleotide ribosomal RNA is filed under the name uncultured bacterium. RNAcentral describes it as "partial 16S ribosomal RNA". It matches the Rfam family "Bacterial small subunit ribosomal RNA", at positions 523 to 918 of the family's 1533-position model. The record is from RNAcentral.